Molecule: ribosomal RNA, 253 nt
Filed under: uncultured bacterium
Lineage: Bacteria
Description: partial 16S ribosomal RNA
Rfam family: Bacterial small subunit ribosomal RNA
Source: RNAcentral
UACGUAGGGACCAAGCGUUGUUCGGAUUUACUGGGCGUAAAGGGCGCGUAGGCGGCAAUUCAAGUCAGUUGUGAAAUCUCCGAGCUUAACUCGGAACGGUCAACUGAUACUGUUUUGCUAGAGUGCAGAAAGGGCAACCGGAAUUCUUGGUGUAGCGGUGAAAUGCGUAGAUAUCAAGAGGAACACCUGAGGCGAAGGCGGGUUGCUAGGCUGACACUGACGCUGAGGCGCGAAAGCGUGGGGAGCGAUCCGG